AUUGAACGCUGGCGGCAGGCCUAACACAUGCAAGUCGAGCGGAGCGGCGGACGGGUGAUUAAUGCCUAGGAAGCUGCCUGGUAGUGGGGGAUAACGUCCGGAAACGGGCGCUAAUACAGCAUACUAUCAGAUGAGCCUAGGUCGGAGUAGCUAGUUGGUGGGGUAAAGGCAUACCAAGGCGACGAUCCGUAACUGGUCUGAGAGGAUGAUCAGUGACACUGGGACUGAGACACGGGCCAGACGCCUACGGGUGGCAGGAGUGGGGAAUAUUGGACAAUGGGCGAAAGCCUGAUCCAGCCAUGCCGCGUGGGUGAAGAAGGUCUUCGGAUUGUAAAGCACUUUAAGUUGGGAGGCGUUACCAUCAGAAUAAGCACCGGCUAACUUCGUGCCAGCAGCCGCGGUAAUUC
This 407-nucleotide ribosomal RNA is filed under the name uncultured bacterium. Its description in RNAcentral is "partial 16S ribosomal RNA". It matches the Rfam family "Bacterial small subunit ribosomal RNA", at positions 30 to 526 of the family's 1533-position model. The record is from RNAcentral.